AAAAAUUUCCUAUAAAAAUAGUGAAUUUUGAAGUGUCAGGCUAUAAUAUACUGGUACUAAUUUCCCUUGCCCAUAUGACAGUACUUUUCCUCGGUGAUUCUAUUCGAAAGAGGAACAUAAGCUUUUUAUUUGGGAAGCUACAGAAAUUGACUAGUUGUUAUUUAAAGCAACAUGAUUUUUGCAAAGAUGGUAUCUGGCCAGCAUGAUACAGUCAAUUUGCUUAACCCAGCCGAGACAGACCAGCAUGCUUGAAGUACUUUGAAGGCAGAAUUAUUAUGGCAAUGCAGAAUUAUCUUGUCACAUCAUGGUAGAAGCACAGUGUUGACCGAUGCAAAGCACAUGAUGUAUGAAGAAACACUUGAAAAUGUGACCAUUUUUACAGAGUCUACAGCACUUGACUUUCUUAAGACAGUGAGUGGCCUUUCUACUCUUGGUAUGCUAGGAAGUAUAUCAGGUAUGAAAUACAAACAUUAAACGGUCAAUGUUCCAUGGUAGUUUUAUAAGUAGUAGCUAGGAAGCACACAAAGGUGUUAUGAAACCAAAGCCAAACUUGCUUUGGACUAAGAAGCAAAGUGAGUUGGUGAAAACCUGAUCCUACCAGAGAGCACAUACGACUUGCACAAGUCAGAAGACAUGAAAUGUGAUCAAAACAUAGCCAUGGAAAGUAGUAGCAGUGGUAGGAAAUUGGUAACCUAUCCAUGAGAGAUUUCACAGUGUACUGUCACAUCCCAAUAUGN
This 737-nucleotide long non-coding RNA is filed under the name Hordeum vulgare. RNAcentral describes it as "long non-coding RNA (HVUL_LNC011242)". Lineage: Eukaryota; Viridiplantae; Streptophyta; Magnoliopsida; Poales; Poaceae. The record is from RNAcentral.